Long non-coding RNA from Caretta caretta (loggerhead turtle), 1523 nucleotides. RefSeq lists it as uncharacterized. The record is from RefSeq and is a predicted model, not a curated record. NCBI's taxonomy places the organism in Eukaryota, Metazoa, Chordata, Testudines, Cheloniidae.
GCUGCCCAGAGGCUCGGGCAGGAACAUGCCGCUCAAAGCCCCUGCAGCCCGGGCUGCGUCUGCCCCCUGCCUGCGCGCUGGCCCCUGGCUCGCGUGGUGGGCUGGCCGCGGAGUCCAGCGGCGGUCGGCAGCGCGCUGGCACACCUCUAUAACAAAACCACAGUCAGCUGAAAACAAAUAUAAUGACUUGCGGGUGAAGAGGGCAAUGAGAAGCAAACCCUUCGCAAAAUACUGAUAUGUAAUAAGAAGACUUCCUCUACAUUGAGAAGAGAUGGAAAACCACAAAGACUCUACCAUGAUCCAAGACCUUUCCUGCAACUUGGCUUCUCUGUUGAAAUGGAAGGUGCUGACUCAAUUGAAUUUAUAACCCAGGAAUCAUACAUCUGAAUGAUAUGGGGGAAGCCAUAUCUGAAAGGUUCAUUCCCACAAAGUUAAGUCCCGAACCUGGGAAAAAUGUCUGUCCCUUCAUUGUAAUGUUAGCUGCUGCUGUUGAAGAUAGAUUAGUCUGGGGAGAAAAAGUUAUACAAGCAUUUUGAAAAGGAAGACAUAGAUGCAGCCAUCCUCUAUCGGGUACAAUCUAACAUUUGACCCUACAUUGUAUGUGCUGUUCAGGCUAUCAAUCCCCCGAAUCCCUUCAUUGGCUCCCCAUUGUUCACUUUUAAAAUUUAGGGCAUGGGGAGGGAAGGGGAACCUUGCACUAGGACUGGACAGCUCUGAAUCAGGGAGUUGCAUCUGGCUUCCUGUGGUCUUCCCCCUCUCUAAAUGCAGUUUGAAUGGAAUGCAGAAUCUGGGCCAAACGGUUUCACCAGUGGCUAAAACUCAGCUAUCUGCUAUGUGUGCUACAGUAGUAGAUUUAAAUUUUUUAAAUACAAAAUGACUGGCAUGGGAGAUGCACACAUACAUUCAAAGGCAGAAUUUUUAGCCUUUAGCACAAAAUUAUGUAUUUUAAACACCUGGAAUCUAUUAUGUUGCUGUUUAAUGAAUUUCACAGAACCAUCAUUACUUAUUGUUUAAAGGAAUAUGAUUGUCAGUACCAAAUCCAUUGCUGUACUGCAGAGUAAGUCACACAUAAAUACAUAAAUACAUGCAAAAAAAUUAGAUUCUUUAAAAAAAAAAAAAACCUUUUCUGGCAGAGGGAAAAUGCUUGUUCUGUUAUCGCUAAGGCUAUUUGAUAGGCAGAACUGUAGACUGCAUGAAAUCUGUGGAGAAGUCCAACAAGUCAAAUUCAUGAACUCCCAUGAAGUAGCACAUUUGCUUCAAAUAACUGUGAUCAGCAUAAAGACUAUAAAAUAUUAGAGAAACUACCGUGUAUGUUAAAAAUUAGACCUGUUAUUACAUGACAUGAUUGUGUUUCUAAAGUUACAUCUGAAGAAGUUUGGUUAAUUAUAAUGCCUUUAUACCCCAACAUAUUUACAGUUGGCAGUAACAAUCCUGUUGUACAAAUUGCAGAACUUUACUUUUGGAAAGAGUUGUAUCGGACCCGUUGUAUCCAAUAUCAAAUUAAAUUUGUCAUUGUAUGUGUA